GCACGGGAGCAAUCCUGGUGGCGAGUGGCGAACGGGUGAGUAAUAUAUCGGAACGUGCCCAGUCGUGGGGGAUAACGUAGAGAAAUUUACGCUAAUACCGCAUACGAUCUAAGGAUGAAAGCGGGGGACCGUAAGGCCUCGCGCGAUUGGAGCGGCUGAUAUCAGAUUAGGUUGUUGGUGAGGUAAAAGCUCACCAAGCCGACGAUCUGUAGCUGGUUUGAGAGAACGACCAGCCACACUGGGACUGAGACACGGCCCAGACUCCUACGGGAGGCAGCAGUGGGGAAUUUUGGACAAUGGGCGAAAGCCUGAUCCAGCAAUGCCGCGUGCAGGAAGAAGGCCUUCGGGUUGUAAACUGCUUUUGUACGGAACGAAAAGGCCUGCCUUAAUACGGCGGGCCCAUGACGGUACCGUAAGAAUAAGCACCGGCUAACUACGUGCCAGCAGCCGCGGUAAUACGUAGGGUGCGAGCGUUAAUCGGAAUUACUGGGCGUAAAGCGUGCGCAGGCGGUGAUGUAAGACAGUUGUGAAAUCCCCGGGCUCAACCUGGGAAUUGCAUCUGUGACUGCAU
RNAcentral lists this ribosomal RNA (571 nucleotides) under Polaromonas sp. B141_3. RNAcentral describes it as "bacterial SSU rRNA". It matches the Rfam family "Bacterial small subunit ribosomal RNA", at positions 71 to 638 of the family's 1533-position model. Lineage: Bacteria; Pseudomonadati; Pseudomonadota; Betaproteobacteria; Burkholderiales; Comamonadaceae. The record is from RNAcentral.